This is a non-coding RNA of Cucurbita pepo subsp. pepo (vegetable marrow), 1751 nucleotides long. Lineage: Eukaryota; Viridiplantae; Streptophyta; Magnoliopsida; Cucurbitales; Cucurbitaceae. The record is from RefSeq and is a predicted model, not a curated record.
GGCAAAGAGGAAGAUAAAUUAGGUUAAAUCAAUUUUGGUUCCUCCCGCCAAUCCUCAAUCAAUCCAAUCUCUCUAUCAAACCAAAAUCACAGCCUCUUGCCUUGCCAUCGUCUCCUCCUCCCGCCAUUGUUAUAUCUUCUUCACUUCACUCCUCUCCAAUUCUUCCCCCUUUUCAAAUCAUUCAAGAAACGCCCCACCAGAUAUGAGUUUUGGUGCUUCUCUAUCUUCAGUCGCCGCCCUGCGCUUUCCUAUUUGUCUCCAUUGUUUUCGAACCCCCAGAACACCCAUUUCCUUCCCUUAUCUAUCCUUAAAUCCUGGAAGUUUGCAUAUCUUUGCGUCGAUGACUUCUUCCUUUACUGCGUCGAUGUCUACUUCCUCACCUCUGGCCCCCGAUCAGCUUGCUGUGGAGGAGAAGAAGCCCGCGCCGCCGCCGAAGCCAUGGCUGAUCGUUGGCCUUGGGAAUCCCGGGAAGAAGUAUGAACGCACGCGCCAUAAUGUAGGUUUUGAGAUGGUGGAUGCUGUCGCUGAGGUUGAAGGGAUAUCCAUGAGUAGUGUUUCCUUCAAAGCUCUUAUCGGGAAAGGUUUCAUCGGGGAUGUUCCUAUAAUGCUUGCCAAGCCACAAACUUUCAUGAAUGCAAGUGGUGAGUCUGUUGGUGCUAUUGUUUCCUACUAUAAAAUUCCAUUGAAGCAAGUCCUUGUGAUAUUCGAUGACUUAGAUUUGCCUUUUGCCAAAUUGCGGAUGCUGCCAAAGGGUGGCCAUGGAGGACAUAAUGGGAUGAGGAGUAUUAUUGAUCACUUGAAAGGCAGUCGUGAUUUCCCUCGGUUAAGAAUAGGCAUUGGGCGCCCUCCCGGGAAAAUGGAUGCUGCGAACUUUGUUAUGCGCCCCUUCAACAAACAAGAACGAGAAGAGUUGGAUUUUACAAUGCAAGUCGGAGUAGACGCAAUACGGAUACUUUUGCUGGAGGGGUUUAACAAAAGUGCAACAUUUGUCAACACCAACAAACCUCUGGAACAAAUAGGCUGAAAACAUUCAGUGUUUAACUUUAAACCUUUUUAUGGACUCUAAUAGGGCUCCAGCCAUUUUGUUUACUGUAUCAAACUGCUUUAGAAACUGCUUUAUACACAGGCGGUAUUUGCUACCAGUUUCAACUCUAUAGCAACAUCCUUGAAAGCUUUGGAUAGGAUUAUGGGGGAGGAAGACAUGACAAUCAGUGUAAUUUUUGAACCCCAUCAAUCAAAGAGACCGAUAAAAGUUGAGAAGGACAGGAAUUGAUAGAACGGAGCAAGCUGCCUCUACGGCUCUACCUAACUUUGAAUGCUUUAAUUAUCUCAUCUUGACAUCACCGAGGGAGGCUAUUCUUUGCCUGUCUUUGUCAUCUUCUUCUCCUUUAUGCAUUUUCUCUGUAGUUUAACCAUUCGCGUCCUCUAUUCUUCAUGUUUGUCUUGCCUGUGUUUUCAGGUUUCUGGUGAAUGCCUUCCCUAUGGAAUUGCCUCAUACGUGGAUGAUUUCAUGCAGGUGGAUCCCACAUAAUUUUGAAUGUACGUCAUAUGCUUCAAAAACUAAUUAUUUCAUGGUAUCUGUGUUUAUUUAUUUAUUUUAAAAUUGAUUCCUACUAUUUUAGAAGUUUUUAUUUAGUAUUUAUGGUUAAGCGUGGCCAUAUGGUUAGGACCAAAUUGGCUUGAAGAUUUAAAAUGUUGAUGUCAACCAAAAUAUUGAUAUUAUGAUGAUGUUGAUGGAUAUUUCAGUAUUA